GCGACAAUUGCCCCUCCCCCACGUCGCAGAAGCACAACGGCUGAGGAUUCAACGUGUGUUUGCAGAGGAUCUACUUCGGUAAAAUCAAGAAUACCAGUUGAUGACUGCUGUGCAGUGGAAAUAUCGAUCAUCUUGCUUGAUAAAACCUCAGUAUAUCAUCAGGAGCAACAGGCCACAUAUUCAGCUAAAAAUCUUCUUUGCUGUUCUGCUGAAGAAAAAUACUCAUCAACAUCUUGGGUGGC
Long non-coding RNA from Labeo rohita (rohu), 242 nucleotides. RefSeq lists it as uncharacterized. The transcript has 4 exons. Lineage: Eukaryota; Metazoa; Chordata; Actinopteri; Cypriniformes; Cyprinidae. The record is from RefSeq and is a predicted model, not a curated record.